Molecule: ribosomal RNA, 668 nt
Filed under: Rhizopus microsporus var. microsporus
Lineage: Eukaryota; Fungi; Mucoromycota; Mucoromycetes; Mucorales; Rhizopodaceae
Also listed under: 1 other name
Description: LSU rRNA
Rfam family: Eukaryotic large subunit ribosomal RNA
Source: RNAcentral
GCGGAGGAAAAGAAAAUAACAAUGAUUUCCUUAGUAACGGCGAGUGAACAGGAAAAAGCUCAAAGUUGGAACCUGUUUGGCCUAGCUAAACCGGAUUGUAAACUGUAGAAGUGUUUUCCAGGCAAGCCGGACCGAUAAGUCCUUUGGAACAGGGCAUCAUAGAGGGUGAGAAUCCCGUCUUCGGUCUGAGCAUUUGCCUUUUGCGAUACACUUUCAAAGAGUCAGGUUGUUUGGGAAUGCAGCCUAAAUUGGGUGGUAAAUCUCACCUAAAGCUAAAUAUUGGCGAGAAACCGAUAGCGAACAAGUACCGUGAGGGAAAGAUGAAAAGAACUUUGAAAAGAGAGUUAAACAGUAUGUGAAAUUGUUAAAAGGGAACCGUUUGGAGCCAGACUGGCUUGUCUGUAAUCAGUCUAAGCUUCGGCUUGGAUGCACUUGCAGGCUAUGCCUGCCAACGACAAUUUGGCUUGAGGGAAAAAACUAAGGGAAAUGUGGCCCAUCCGUGGGUGUUAUAGUCCCUUAGAAAAUACCUUGGGCUGGAUUGAGGUACGCAGCGAAUGCUAUUUGGCGAGUUGGCUGGGAAUAUUUUCUGAGGUGCUUUGGUACUGAGGUUGAUAUUCCUAGUUACACUUCUAUUCGCUUAGGUUGUUGGCUUAAUGACUCUAAAUGAC